CUCUCUCUUGAUUAUGGAAUGUAUAUCUAUAACUAAAUGAAGUGUUCUCAACUUUGGGGUAGACGUAUCUCCUGUGGUAGACUACUGGAGAGGAAUUCUGUGGAUACGUGACAGGUAAUACAAUAGUCACUCUUGCUAGUUUUCUAUAGAUCGCGUCGUUUCUCACGCGUACGAAACAGGUACCGUCAUCACAAGCACGACUGUUAACACGCAGAUAUCAAAAGAUUUCCUUCUCUCGUGUGUCAUACUUUGAAGGUUUCGAGCAUGGAGAAUUGUUAAAUCAAGAGCAGGUACCGUCAUCACAAAUAAGACAUCAGAAAAUUUCCUUCUCUCGUGUGCCAUGCCUUGAAAGGUGGUGAAGUAGAAGUGGCUGGACACUGGAGUAUGGAAGAAUCAUCUAAAAUUUUUAAGUCUCCUCUCAGGGAAAUCAGUCGGUCGGGAAAAGCUUCUCUCAGGAAUCCCAUUGAAAUGCGUGCAAUGUGGGCUGUGGCCCCAUCUGAGAGAGCAAUGGAGAGGCCUGGCACUGGUGAUCACGGUAAGGACUAGACAGUGACGAUACCAGAAGAAUGCUAAGAAUGGCUUGGGUGGUUAAAUAAUGCGAGAGCAGUGGAUAGGUCUGGCAUUGGAAGGGAACCAGUGAGUUCUAGAGGCAGAGUGACAAGAUUUCUACACGAUUAACUCGAGAAUCACUCUUGAAGACCUGUAGGUUUUCAAGAUUGGAGGAGGAAGGGAGAACCAGGAUUCAUUAUUAUCUUUUAUUCAUUUCUUGUUUCAUCAUUGAAACUUCUUGUGGAGUGGAACUCUUAAUACUGUGACUAUGAACAUAAUGAGUGGGCUACAUAUAAGAUAUAAAGUAAGAGU
Long non-coding RNA from Portunus trituberculatus (swimming crab), 861 nucleotides. RefSeq lists it as uncharacterized. Lineage: Eukaryota; Metazoa; Arthropoda; Malacostraca; Decapoda; Portunidae. The record is from RefSeq and is a predicted model, not a curated record. The transcript is spliced from 3 exons.